Molecule: ribosomal RNA, 1478 nt
Filed under: metagenome
Description: bacterial SSU rRNA
Rfam family: Bacterial small subunit ribosomal RNA
Source: RNAcentral
GUUUGAUCAUGGCUCAGAUUGAACGCUGGCGGCAGGCCUAACACAUGCAAGUCGAGCGGUAGAGAGAAGCUUGCUUCUCUUGAGAGCGGCGGACGGGUGAGUAAUGCCUAGGAAUCUGCCUGGUAGUGGGGGAUAACGCUCGGAAACGGACGCUAAUACCGCAUACGUCCUACGGGAGAAAGCAGGGGACCUUCGGGCCUUGCGCUAUCAGAUGAGCCUAGGUCGGAUUAGCUAGUUGGUGAGGUAAUGGCUCACCAAGGCGACGAUCCGUAACUGGUCUGAGAGGAUGAUCAGUCACACUGGAACUGAGACACGGUCCAGACUCCUACGGGAGGCAGCAGUGGGGAAUAUUGGACAAUGGGCGAAAGCCUGAUCCAGCCAUGCCGCGUGUGUGAAGAAGGUCUUCGGAUUGUAAAGCACUUUAAGUUGGGAGGAAGGGCAUUAACCUAAUACGUUAGUGUUUUGACGUUACCGACAGAAUAAGCACCGGCUAACUCUGUGCCAGCAGCCGCGGUAAUACAGAGGGUGCAAGCGUUAAUCGGAAUUACUGGGCGUAAAGCGCGCGUAGGUGGUUCGUUAAGUUGGAUGUGAAAUCCCCGGGCUCAACCUGGGAACUGCAUUCAAAACUGACGAGCUAGAGUAUGGUAGAGGGUGGUGGAAUUUCCUGUGUAGCGGUGAAAUGCUUAGAUAUUACACAGAACACCGAUUGCGAAGGCAGCUCACAAAACUGUAACUGACGCUGAGGCACGAAAGCGUGGGGAGUGAACAGGAUUAGAUACCCUGGUAAUCCACGCCUUAAACGAUGAUUACUCGAUGUGUGCAAUACACCGUACGCGUCCUAGCGAAAGCGUUAAGUAAUCCACCUGGGGAGUACGAUCGCAAGGUUGAAACUCAAAGGAAUUGACGGGGGCCCGCACAAGCGGAGGAGCAUGUGGUUUAAUUCGAUGAUACGCGAGGAACCUUACCUGGGCUUGAAAGUUAGUGACCGGUGGUGAAAGCCACUUUUCCGCAAGGACACGAAACUAGGUGCUGCAUGGCUGUCGUCAGCUCGUGCCGUGAGGUGUUGGGUUAAGUCCCGCAACGAGCGCAACCCCUAUCUUUAGUUGCCAGCGAGUAAUGUCGGGGACUCUAGAGAAACUGCCCGUGCAAACGGUGAGGAAGGUGGGGAUGACGUCAAGUCAGCACGGCCCUUACGUCCAGGGCUACACACGUGCUACAAUGGCGAGUACAAAGGGCAGCUACACAGUGAUGUGAUGCUAAUCUCUAAAGCUCGUCUCAGUUCGGAUUGAAGUCUGCAACUCGACUUCAUGAAGCUGGAUUCGCUAGUAAUCGUAGAUCAGCAAUGCUACGGUGAAUACGUUCCCGGGCCUUGUACACACCGCCCGUCAAGCCAUGGAAGUUGGGAGUACCUGAAGUCCAUCACCGCAAGGAGUGGCCUAGGGUAAAACCAAUGACUGGGGCUAAGUCGUAACAAGGUA